RNAcentral lists this ribosomal RNA (468 nucleotides) under uncultured bacterium. RNAcentral's name for it is "partial 16S ribosomal RNA". It matches the Rfam family "Bacterial small subunit ribosomal RNA", at positions 28 to 507 of the family's 1533-position model. The record is from RNAcentral.
GACGAACGCUGGCGGCGUGCUUAACACAUGCAAGUCGAACGGAAAGGCCCUGCUUUUGUGGGGUGCUCGAGUGGCGAACGGGUGAGUAACACGUGAGUAACCUGCCCUUGACUUUGGGAUAACUUCAGGAAACUGGGGCUAAUACCGGAUAGGAGCUCCUGCUGCAUGGUGGGGGUUGGAAAGUUUCGGCGGUGGGGGAUGGACUCGCGGCUUAUCAGCUUGUUGGUGGGGUAGUGGCUUACCAAGGCUUUGAAGGGUAGCCGGCCUGAGAGGGUGACCGGCCACAUUGGGACUGAGGUAAGGCCCAGACUGCUAAUGGAGGCAGCAGUGGGGAAUAUUGCAGAAUGGGCGGAAGCCUGAUGCAGCAACGCCGCGUGCGGGAUGACGGCCUUAGGGUUGUAAACCGCUUUCGCCUGUGACGAAGCGUGAGUGACGGUAAUGGGUAAAGAAGCACCGGCUAACUACGUG